RNAcentral lists this ribosomal RNA (253 nucleotides) under uncultured bacterium. RNAcentral describes it as "partial 16S ribosomal RNA". It matches the Rfam family "Bacterial small subunit ribosomal RNA", at positions 524 to 776 of the family's 1533-position model. The record is from RNAcentral.
UACGUAGGGGGCUAGCGUUGCUCGGAAUCACUGGGCGUAAAGGGUGCGUAGGCGGGCCUUUAAGUCAGGGGUGAAAUCCUGGAGCUCAACUCCAGAACUGCCUUUGAUACUGAAGAUCUUGAGUUCGGGAGAGGUGAGUGGAACUGCGAGUGUAGAGGUGAAAUUCGUAGAUAUUCGCAAGAACACCAGUGGCGAAGGCGGCUCACUGGCCCGAUACUGACGCUGAUGCGCGAAAGCCAGGGGAGCGAACGGG